Molecule: ribosomal RNA, 252 nt
Filed under: uncultured bacterium
Lineage: Bacteria
Description: partial 16S ribosomal RNA
Rfam family: Bacterial small subunit ribosomal RNA
Source: RNAcentral
UACGUAGGUCCCGAGCGUUGUCCGGAUUUAUUGGGCAUAAAGCGAGCGCAGGUGGUUUAUUAAGUCUGGUGUAAAAGGUAGUGGCUCAACCAUUGUAUGCAUUGGAAACUGGUAGACUUGAGUGCAGAAGAGGAGAGUGGAAUUCCAUGUGUAGCGGUGAAAUGCGUAGAUAUAUGGAGGAACACCGGUGGCGAAAGCGGCUCUCUGGCCUGUAACUGACACUGAGGCUCGAAAGCGUGGGGAGCAAACAGG